This 456-nucleotide ribosomal RNA is filed under the name Triticum aestivum (bread wheat). RNAcentral's name for it is "partial small subunit ribosomal RNA". The record is from RNAcentral. Lineage: Eukaryota; Viridiplantae; Streptophyta; Magnoliopsida; Poales; Poaceae.
AUGUUACUUGUGGACCUCCGUUUGCGGUGUGGUUGUAUCGUGGUUGUGGCUUCAUUUGUAAAACAGGGAAAGAUGUCUUUUUUGGUAAGCUUCUUUGUUGAUGCAUGUAAAAUUCAAAUCGAGAAUCUUUGGUUGUUACAUAGUUGCAUGAAAUCUAUGUUUGGAUUAUUGUGUGCAUCAAUGCCAAAAUUACGAAGUCAUUUUGGUGUUUGUUUGUACUAUGUGCUAACUAAUCUGCCCCAUGUAUCUGUUUUCUUGAACCGGAGAAUUGACUUCGGUUUUUAUCCUGAGCCUCUAGGUGUCGGCGCUACUUAUUACUGGUUUUUAUCCAGGUCUUAUUUUUUUGCGAGAGAUUAUCUGGUGGCCUUAUUAAUAAUGAUGGUUGCAGCUUUAUUUAUAAAGCGGGGCAAGAUAACUUUUUUGGUAAGCUUCUUUGUUGAUGCAUGUAAAAUAUAA